AUGUCCAUGAAGACAGACACGCAGACAAAAAUCCCCAUGGAAAAUGUUCUUCAAGAGCCAGGAAUGCCAGGAGAGGCCAAGAGGAAACCACUCCCAGUAGCAGAACAGUCAAAGGCAUGGAGCAGAGCCAGGAUUUUAAUGUGGGUUUGGGGCCAACAAGUCACACCAGAUGGCCUGGGAUUUUCCUCGGUUUCAGAGCACCACCUCCGUGCCUUCUGCCUGUACACAGGGUGGGACCAGUCUUCAGAGCCCCAUCUCCUGUCUCCGGAACUGCUGCUACACAGGGAUGCUCACACUCAAAGUUACUGGAGCCAGUGUCCCCCUUGGAGGUGUGCCUGUGAGCAAAGCUACCCCUUCUUUGAAGAGGGUCGGGAAGGAGCUGCCUCUCCGUUUUAAUGACCAG
This 403-nucleotide long non-coding RNA is filed under the name Mus spicilegus (steppe mouse). RNAcentral describes it as "lncRNA (ENSMSIG00000001977.1)". The record is from RNAcentral. Lineage: Eukaryota; Metazoa; Chordata; Mammalia; Rodentia; Muridae.